AAGAGAAAUGGGGUGGUAGCUGGAAGAGGAUAUGGGACCAGGAACGUUUUACAAUUUUAUCAAGUGGGAGAGAUUCUGACAGCACAUUUGUGUGCUGGGAAUGACUCAACAGAGAAUAACAGCUCAGCGAUGCAAGAACAGGAAUGACAAGGACAAAGGCUAGGAUAAAGGGAAGGAGAUCCUACCAGAUUUUAUGAAGAAACAUGUGAAGUCUUCAGCUUUGAAAUAGCCCCAUAUUGGACCUUCCCUGGGCCAAAGAGAAGAGUUGCAUAUUGAUGACAAUGGAGCCAUCCCACC
Molecule: long non-coding RNA, 297 nt
Organism: Dama dama (fallow deer)
Lineage: Eukaryota; Metazoa; Chordata; Mammalia; Artiodactyla; Cervidae
Exons: 3
Source: RefSeq, a predicted model, not a curated record